GCUAUCCAUAACUUUCCUUAAUAGCAGAAUUAGCAAAUAUCCUGAAAAUAAAAUCUCAAUGCUUUAUAAAUGUUAUGUGGCAAUCAUCAGGUCUUAGUUUCUAAAUACAUCAUUCGUCAUUAAAAGGAAUCAGGGUAUUCCUCUGUAAAAUGGCUGAUUCCAGGGAUGGGGCAGGAAACGUACAAAAUGAAUCCAGAACAACUUGCUAUGUCUCAUAAAAGUGAUGAGAACACAGGGGCGAGCCUGAAGGAAUCCACACUGGUCCUUAAAUCUGGGAUGAAGGUAUUCAA
Molecule: long non-coding RNA, 290 nt
Organism: Neofelis nebulosa (Clouded leopard)
Lineage: Eukaryota; Metazoa; Chordata; Mammalia; Carnivora; Felidae
Exons: 2
Source: RefSeq, a predicted model, not a curated record